Molecule: long non-coding RNA, 257 nt
Filed under: Capsicum annuum
Lineage: Eukaryota; Viridiplantae; Streptophyta; Magnoliopsida; Solanales; Solanaceae
Description: long non-coding RNA (CANN_LNC011050)
Source: RNAcentral
AGUCAGUCAUGUAUGUCAGUUUCCUUCCAUUGAGUCCUGGGGGUACUUGUACCCGAAAGAUAUAGCUGUGUACCUAGAGCCAUGUCAUGUUAUCACGAUAAUAUCAGUCAAUCCAUGAUCUAUAGAACUUAGUCGGGCAUGUGACUCAGGAAACCUCAGAAAUCUCAUGAUUUCAGUUAAUUCUCAAAUAGUAGCACUAAUCCGUCAGUUACUCAGUCCAUGUACCAUCAGUUAAAUCACGUUCAGUCUCUUCAGAU